GAUGAACGCUGGCGGCGUGCUUAACACAUGCAAGUCGAACGGAAAGGCCCAAGCUUGCUUGGGUACUCGAGUGGCGAACGGGUGAGUAACACGUGGGUGAUCUGCCCUGCACUUCGGGAUAAGCCUGGGAAACUGGGUCUAAUACCGGAUAGGACGAUGGUUUGGAUGCCAUUGUGGAAAGUUUUUUCGGUGUGGGAUGAGCUCGCGGCCUAUCAGCUUGUUGGUGGGGUAAUGGCCUACCAAGGCGUCGACGGGUAGCCGGCCUGAGAGGGUGUACGGCCACAUUGGGACUGAGAUACGGCCCAGACUCCUACGGGAGGCAGCAGUGGGGAAUAUUGCACAAUGGGCGCAAGCCUGAUGCAGCGACGCCGCGUGGGGGAUGACGGCCUUCGGGUUGUAAACUCCUUUCGCUAGGGACGAAGCGUUUUUGUGGCGGUACCUGGAGAAGAAGCACCGGCUAACUACGUG
RNAcentral lists this ribosomal RNA (468 nucleotides) under uncultured bacterium. RNAcentral describes it as "partial 16S ribosomal RNA". It matches the Rfam family "Bacterial small subunit ribosomal RNA", at positions 28 to 507 of the family's 1533-position model. The record is from RNAcentral.